RNAcentral lists this transfer RNA (71 nucleotides) under Bacteroidota bacterium. Its description in RNAcentral is "tRNA-Gln". It matches the Rfam family "tRNA". From Rfam's summary of the family: Transfer RNA (tRNA) molecules are approximately 80 nucleotides in length. Their secondary structure includes four short double-helical elements and three loops (D, anti-codon, and T loops). The record is from RNAcentral. Lineage: Bacteria; Pseudomonadati; Bacteroidota. RNAcentral also lists the same sequence under 1 other name.
UGACCGAUGGUGUAACGGCAGCACAGGAGAUUUUGGUUCUCUUAGUCCAGGUUCGAAUCCUGGUCGGUCAA